GUAGGUGAACCUGCGGAAGGAUCAUUAACGAGAAGACCAGGGCUCCGCCCCUGGUAGGGGUAGGCCUUCGGGCCUGCCCUGCUUCUUCACCCAUUGCAUACCUUCCAGUGUUGCUUUGGCGGGCCGUGGGGGCUCUUUCCCCGCCGCCAGCCCCGGGUCAGUCCCGGGUCUGAGUGCCUGCCCGCCAGAGGCCUUCAAACCAAACCCUGUUAUCUGUGAUGUCCGACUGAUUGCACAAUUAUAGAAAAAA
Molecule: unclassified non-coding RNA, 250 nt
Filed under: plant metagenome
Description: partial contains small subunit ribosomal RNA, internal transcribed spacer 1, and 5.8S ribosomal RNA
Source: RNAcentral